CUGCUCAGUAACACGUGGAUAACCUACCCUUAGGACCGGAAUAACCCCGGGAAACUGGGGAUAAUACCGGAUAAGCCAUAGACGCUGGAAUGCCCUAUGGUUCAAAGCUCCGGCGCCUAAGGAUGGAUCUGCGGUCUAUCAGGUUGUAGUGGGUGUAACGUACCUACUAGCCGACGACGGAUACGGGUUGUGAGAGCAAGAGCCCGGAGAUGGAUUCUGAGACACGAAUCCAGGCCCUACGGGGUGCAGCAGGCGCGAACACUUUACAAUGCGGGAAACCGCGAUAAGGGAACCCCGAGUGCCAGCAUCAAAUGUUGGCUGUCCGGAUGAUUAAAAAUCAUUUGUUAGCAAGGGCCGGGCAAGACCGGUGCCAGCCGCCGCGGUAACACCGGCGGCCCGAGUGGUAGCCGUUUUUAUUGGGUCUAAAGGGUCCGUAGCCGGCCUGAUAAGUCCUUUGGGAAAUCUGGCAGCUUAACUGUCAGGCUUCUAAGGGAUACUGUCAGGCUUGGGACCGGAAGAGGUAAGGGGUACUCCAGGGGUAGGAGUGAAAUCUUGUAAUCCCUGGGGGACCAUCUGUGGCGAAGGCGCCUUACCAGAACGGGUCCGACGGUGAGGGACGAAAGCUAGGGGAGCAAACCGGAUUAGAUACCCGGGUAGUCCUAGCUGUAAACGAUGCUCGCUAGGUGUCAAACACGGUGCGACCGUGUUUGGUGCCGCAGGGAAGCCGUUAAGCGAGCCACCUGGGAAGUACGGUCGCAAGGCUGAAACUUAAAGGAAUUGGCGGGGGAGCACUACAACGGGUGGAGCCUGCGGUUU
RNAcentral lists this ribosomal RNA (816 nucleotides) under uncultured archaeon. RNAcentral's name for it is "bacterial SSU rRNA". It matches the Rfam family "Archaeal small subunit ribosomal RNA", at positions 86 to 903 of the family's 1478-position model. The record is from RNAcentral.